AGUGAACGCUGGCGGUAGGCCUAACACAUGCAAGUCGAACGGCAGCACAGUAAGAGCUUGCUCUUACGGGUGGCGAGUGGCGGACGGGUGAGGAAUACAUCGGAAUCUACUUUUUCGUGGGGGAUAACGUAGGGAAACUUACGCUAAUACCGCAUACGACCUACGGGUGAAAGCAGGGGAUCUUCGGACCUUGCGCGAUUGAAUGAGCCGAUGUCGGAUUAGCUAGUUGGCGGGGUAAAGGCCCACCAAGGCGACGAUCCGUAGCUGGUCUGAGAGGAUGAUCAACCACACUGGAACUGAGACACGGUCCAGACUCCUACGGGAGGCAGCAGUGGGGAAUAUUGGACAAUGGGCGCAAGCCUGAUCCAGCCAUACCGCGUGGGUGAAGAAGGCCUUCGGGUUGUAAAGCCCUUUUGUUGGGAAAGAAAAGCAGCAGGUUAAUACCCCACUGUUCUGACGGUACCCAAAGAAUAAGCACCGGCUAACUUCGUG
RNAcentral lists this ribosomal RNA (492 nucleotides) under uncultured bacterium. RNAcentral's name for it is "partial 16S ribosomal RNA". It matches the Rfam family "Bacterial small subunit ribosomal RNA", at positions 29 to 507 of the family's 1533-position model. The record is from RNAcentral.